CAGCAGCAGCCACGGUAAUACGAAGAGGGCUAGCGUUGCUCGGAAUUAUUGGGCGUAAAGGGCUCGCAGGCGGUUUCUUAAGUCUGAUGUGAAAGCCCCCGGCUCAACCGGGGAGGGUCAUUGGAAACUGGGAAACUUGAGUGCAGAAGAGGAGAGUGGAAUUCCACGUGUAGCGGUGAAAUGCGUAGAGAUGUGGAGGAACACCAGUGGCGAAGGCGACUCUCUGGUCUGUAACUGACGCUGAGGAGCGAAAGCGUGGGGAGCGAACAGGAUUAGAUACCCCUGUAGUCCCUGUCUCUUAUAC
Molecule: ribosomal RNA, 304 nt
Filed under: uncultured bacterium
Lineage: Bacteria
Description: partial 16S ribosomal RNA
Rfam family: Bacterial small subunit ribosomal RNA
Source: RNAcentral